This 253-nucleotide ribosomal RNA is filed under the name uncultured bacterium. RNAcentral describes it as "partial 16S ribosomal RNA". It matches the Rfam family "Bacterial small subunit ribosomal RNA", at positions 524 to 776 of the family's 1533-position model. The record is from RNAcentral.
UACGUAGGGUGCGAGCGUUGUCCGGAAUUAUUGGGCGUAAAGGGCGGGUAGGUGGCAAUGUAAGGUUGGUGUGAAAGCCUUCGGCUUAACCGAGGGAGGACACUGACGACUGCAUAGCUCGAGGCAGAUAGAGGGGUGUAGAAUUCCGGGUGGAGUGGUGAAAUGCGUAGAGAUCCGGAGGAAUACCAGAGGCGAAGGCGGCACCCUGGGUCUGACCUGACACUGAUCCGCGACAGCAUGGGGAGCGAACGGG